GCGGUGGAUGCCUAGGCGUCGAGAGGCGAUGAAGGACGUCGGAACCUGCGAAAAGCCAUAGGGAGCUGGUAACCGAGCUGUGAUCUAUGGAUGUCCGAAUGGGGAAACCCACCCGCAAGGGUAUUUGCACCUGAAUGCAUAGGGUGUAAAGGCGAACCCGGGGAACUGAAACAUCUCAGUACCCGGAGGAAAGGAAAUCAACGGAGACUCCGUGAGUAGCGGCGAGCGAAAGCGGAUUGCGACUUAAGUCAGUGAACGCGUUGGAAAGCGCGGCCAAAGAAGGUGAUAGCCCUGUAGUUGGAUGAUGUCGCUCAGCCCUAGAGUAGCGUCGGUGUCGUGAAACCCGGCGUGAACAUGGGGGGUCCACCCUCCAAGGCUAAGUACUACUUGACGACCGAUAGUUAACCAGUAAGGCGACUGAAUGAUGAAAACUACCCCUGCUAGGGGUGUGAAAGAGUAGCUGAAACCAUGUGCUUACACAGCGGUCAGAGCCCUUCGGGGUGAUGGCGUGCCUUUUGCAUAAUGACCCGGCGAGUUACUCUCAUUGGCGAGGUUAAGGCCUAGCGGGCCGAAGCCGAAGCGAAAGCGAGUCUGAAAUAGGCGUUGAGUCGAUGGGAGUAGACGCGAAACCUUGUGAUCUACCCAUGGGCAGGCUGAAGGCCGGGUAAAACCGGCUGGAGGGCCGAACGCACCAACGUUGAAAAGUUGGGCGAUGACCUGUGGGGAGGACUAAAAGUGUAAUCAAACUGGGAGAUAGCUCGUUCUCUCCGAAAUAUUUUUAGGAAUAGCCUCUUGCGGCAACUGUUGGGGGUAGAGCCACUGGAUACGGAUGGGGCCCUCGGGUACCCACUGUAACCAAACUCCGAAUACCAACAGCCAAGGCAAGGGAGUCAGCCCACGAGUGACAAUAUCCGUGGACAAAAGGGAAACAUCCCAGACCGCCAGCUAAGGUCCCUGAACAUUGCUUAGUUCUAAAGGAAGUCGAAGCGCAAAGACAGCCAGGAUGUUGGCUUAGAAGCAGC
This 1022-nucleotide ribosomal RNA is filed under the name uncultured Stichotrichia. RNAcentral's name for it is "partial Bacterial large subunit ribosomal RNA". It matches the Rfam family "Bacterial large subunit ribosomal RNA", at positions 21 to 1116 of the family's 2925-position model. Lineage: Eukaryota; Ciliophora; Spirotrichea. The record is from RNAcentral.